RNAcentral lists this unclassified non-coding RNA (290 nucleotides) under Hevea brasiliensis (rubber tree). Lineage: Eukaryota; Viridiplantae; Streptophyta; Magnoliopsida; Malpighiales; Euphorbiaceae. The record is from RNAcentral.
CGUAACUUUAAACAUUGCCAAAUGUCAUAACAGUUACUAUAAUAUCCUUCUUUCUUUUUUGAGUAGUGUGAUAUUGGAUUAGCUAGAUAUUUGUUGUUGGUUGGAAUAGAUGAAUAGUGCUGGCUGGCUACCAUGAUGGUUGCAAAUAGGAAUUUUAUGUGUUAAGGAUUUGGGUAUUUUAUAACUCUAAGAAUGUGAAAAAGCAACAAAUAAAAGAGAAAAUUCAACUCAAUUGUUUCCUUAUUUCUUUUUUAUGUCAUCAUUUAUCAAUCUUCUACAGUUCUACUCUG